RNAcentral lists this long non-coding RNA (793 nucleotides) under Homo sapiens (human). RNAcentral's name for it is "THUMPD3 antisense RNA 1". The record is from RNAcentral. Lineage: Eukaryota; Metazoa; Chordata; Mammalia; Primates; Hominidae.
GCUAGGUGUGGAAACAGGAAGAGAACUAGAACUGGAAGUAAAGCAUUGAAGAUGUGACUGAAUUGCUGCAAUCUCAUGAUCAAAUUUGAAUGGAUGAGGAGUUGCUUUUUAGGGAUGAGCAAAGAAAGUGGUUUCUCGAGAUGGAAUCUACUGGUGAAGUUGCUGUGAACAUUGUUAAAAUGCCAAUAAAGGAUUUAGGAAUUACAGAAACCUGGUUGAUAAAGCAGUGCCAGGGUGUGAGAGAGUUGACUUCAAUUUUGAAAUAAGUUCCACUGGCUGGGUGUGGUGGCUCACACCUGCAAUCCCAGUACUUUAGGAGGCCGAGACUGGUAGAUCAUUUGAGGUCAGGAGUUCAAGACCAGCCUUGCCAACAUGGUGAAACCCCACCUCUACCAAAUUAGCCAGGUUGCUCCUUGAGGGCAGGACAGUUCUUAUGGCUUUAUCCGUUGCGUAAGCACAGAGAGGUCUGCGAGGUCAAAACUAUUGUCAUGAUAGCAAGAUGCCUGUCUUUUUCAUUUAUUCUCACGGUGUGCAGAGGCUACAUGAUGUGUGAUGACAUCCUCAUUGAUGUUAAUGAAUGGUGCUAUACUUGAAUUUUCUAAGGUGUCAUUAGGUAGGUUUAGCAAUUCUCCUGCCUCAGCCUCCUGCAUAACUGGGACUACAGGGAAGCACCAUUUUCCACAAAACUCUCAAGAAGGACUUGUUGCAACUGGAAAAGCAAUUAAAUGUGAAUCGUGAUCCAGGAGAAAGUAACAACUCACAUAACUCCCAAAUUAAAAGUUUUCCAAAGAUA